UACUUAGCAUAUUUUGAUAGUAUGCGGAUUAAUAUAACUAUAAUUAAUAGUUAAAGAAAGGGUAG
Non-coding RNA from Lactobacillus paragasseri K7, 65 nucleotides. The record is from Rfam. Lineage: Bacteria; Bacillati; Bacillota; Bacilli; Lactobacillales; Lactobacillaceae.